This 689-nucleotide long non-coding RNA is filed under the name Mytilus galloprovincialis (Mediterranean mussel). The record is from RNAcentral. Lineage: Eukaryota; Metazoa; Mollusca; Bivalvia; Mytilida; Mytilidae.
GUUCUGUUAAUUUUCUUUGUAAUAUAAACUGGUACUUAAUUUUACUUUAUCAAUAAAAUAUCUUUCAUUUAAAUCUUUUUGUUUUCAUUAUUUGUUUAUUAUUAUUGAAAUUAAAUAACGAGAGUUGAUAUCAAGCGAUAUCUAAAUCUCACAAGUUGUUAAACCUAUUUCUCUUAUGGCAAAAAGUUGUAUGUGCGUGGCCUAUUUGUUGUGAGUUGUGUUGCUACGGCCGUUUUUCUUUGCAACGCGUACUGAUCUGUAUACUUUUUGAACUAAUAUGGUUUUAUUUUAUUCGCUCAAGGCUGAUUUUAUAUAUUUAAAAAUAAGAUGACUCAGUUUAAUUCAAACGAUAUUGAAUUAUCACAAGCUGUAAAACGUAUGGUAAAAAACAAAUGUUUUUAUGAUUAUUUUCGUGGCGAGAGUUGUUGCUACGGGUGUCAUCUGUGCAAAACCGGAAGUAAACAAUCAGUUGUCAAGAAAAAAAGUAGUCCCGGCAUGACCUUUUCCAGUGAAUAAUGACCUGAUCAACGGCCAAUGAAAAUAUUGGAAAUUUACGAGAUAAGCCAAUCAAAUUAACGUAAUUUUGAUAUCACUUUUUCAUAUCACACUCCGUACGGUGUGAUACGAAAAAUAUCUAUUCACGUGGGAGUUAGAUAACAGGCCCCAACCAUAAGAGAAUAUCAGUUUAA